RNAcentral lists this long non-coding RNA (260 nucleotides) under Physcomitrium patens. Its description in RNAcentral is "long non-coding RNA (PPAT_LNC007191)". The record is from RNAcentral. Lineage: Eukaryota; Viridiplantae; Streptophyta; Bryopsida; Funariales; Funariaceae.
ACUUACAAUGUUGUAUCCACUGAUUGUCUUGUUAGAUUAACCCAAUAAAUUUCAUUCACUCCGCAUACUCAAUCCUAUAGACACCUUUUUAAUCCUUCAAUCACAGACGUAACUCGAUUUCACAAAACAGUCAAGAGUAAUCAAAUCCACUUCAUUAGAAAAAAUCUCGAUUCACCAUUACAACACUGACUUAAGCAAUGAUUGCCUCAGUCUUCCCAAAACUCUAUGAAGAAGAAAAAUCCAAUUCUCCGUCUUUUCUU